Long non-coding RNA from Drosophila willistoni, 985 nucleotides. RefSeq lists it as uncharacterized. The record is from RefSeq and is a predicted model, not a curated record. The transcript is spliced from 3 exons. Lineage: Eukaryota; Metazoa; Arthropoda; Insecta; Diptera; Drosophilidae.
AAUUACGGGAAAAUUGUUCAUCUCUUUUUUUUUCUUGUAAAAAUCGGACCAAGAAAAGCGUAAGCAGAGGGCACCUACCAAAGUCAGUCUCGAUACUUUUAUAAUGUAAUACUCGCUUUCAUUAUAAUUUCACAGCUUUCCCUCACACGGACUACGCCGAUUCUUCAACCAAGACUCAGAUCUAACAUCCACGUGCCCACUGAGUCCACAGUGCUAGCCAGUUGGUGCGGGUGCGCAAAUUGGGCUUUGGUUUGAAUUUGACUGAAAUGAACAAUGCUUCGACUUUGUUUCAUUAUAUUCCUUCGACGUUAUAAUGAAGGACACAGCCAGCAAUAGCAAUCAUUUAAACAACAAUACGAUGCGCCCAGACUACAGGGCUGUGGCAAGAGCGAUGGCGAUGGCAAUGACGACAAUUACAGGACUCGCGGCUGUGGUGGAUGGUCGUCAUCGGCAUCUUAGCAUCAUCAUCCUUCUGCAGCGGGCUCCUUCCCCGGCUGUAGCUCGGUGCUGCCACUUCAGUGGGCAAUUAGCCAGUCGACCGGAAAAGGAAAAGGGGAGCUCAAAGUCCCCCUUCAUCAUCAGCACACCAUCACAUGGCAGACGUACUGGCAGAUUUAUAUUGCAAACGACCGCCCCAUUUAGCGUUUAAGCAUGGCAACGUUCCGAGGACGAGAGAAAAAGAAAAAAAAAAAUUAUAAAGCAUUCGACUUCGGCUUAGAUUUAGAGUUGUUUCUAGCCUGCCAGACCAGUUGUCACCGAAAGCAUUUCUACAUCUGGAUCUGGAUGCGGCACGGAUGACAACUAACCUCAUAUAUCCACUAGUCGACAGUUUUUGCUUGGCAAAACACAAAUUUGUGUGGACAGUCCGUUUUAUGUCGAAUCCAGUUGAUUGCACAACACAAAUAUAAAUUCAUAAUUGAGAUAUGUUUCUGCAUACACAGACUACACAAUCCAUGUGCGAUGAAGUCAGAAGAUACGCUUUCAA